Molecule: non-coding RNA, 106 nt
Organism: Gossypium hirsutum (cotton)
Lineage: Eukaryota; Viridiplantae; Streptophyta; Magnoliopsida; Malvales; Malvaceae
Source: Rfam
AAAUCUUGCAUUGGGCAUUUUCUAAUUAACUCAUUGAAUCACUCUCAUGCUUCAUAUAUGUUUCAUCCUCAGAUUGCCGGAAGGACGUAAUAUCAUUCCUCAAUUU